CCUUGUACACACCGCCCGUCACGUCAUGGAAGCCGGCAACACCUGAAGUCGCUACGCCAACCGUAAGGAGGCAGGCGCCGAAGGUGGGGUUGGUGACUGGGACG
Molecule: ribosomal RNA, 104 nt
Filed under: uncultured bacterium
Lineage: Bacteria
Description: partial 16S ribosomal RNA
Rfam family: Bacterial small subunit ribosomal RNA
Source: RNAcentral